RNAcentral lists this unclassified non-coding RNA (286 nucleotides) under Cordana sp. RNAcentral's name for it is "partial contains 5.8S ribosomal RNA, internal transcribed spacer 2, and large subunit ribosomal RNA". The stretch from base 1 to 71 matches the Rfam family "5.8S ribosomal RNA", at positions 84 to 154 of the family's 154-position model. Lineage: Eukaryota; Fungi; Ascomycota; Sordariomycetes; Coniochaetales; Cordanaceae. The record is from RNAcentral.
GUGAAUCAUCGAAUCUUUGAACGCACAUUGCGCCCGCUAGUAUUCUAGCGGGCAUGCCUGUUCGAGCGUCAUUUCAACCCUCAAGCACUGCUUGGUGUUGGGGCCCUACAGCUUCUGUAGGCCCUGAAAACUAGUGGCGGGCUCGCUAUAACUCCGAGCGUAGUAGUAACAUCUCGCUUAGGACGUGAUGGCGGGAUCCGGCCGUUAAACCCCCCAAUUUUCUGAAUGUUGACCUCGGAUCAGGUAGGAAUACCCGCUGAACUUAAGCAUAUCAAUAAGCGGAGGA